UNGGAGAGGAAAGUGGAAUUCCUAGUGUAGCGGUGAAAUGCGUAGAUAUUAGGAAGAACACCAGUGGCGAAGGCGACUUUCUGGACGAAAACUGACGNUGAGGCGCGAAAGCCAGGGGAGCGAACGGGAUUAGAUACCCCGGUAGUCCUGNCCGUAAACGAUGGGUACUAGGUGUAGGAGGUAUCGACCCNUUCUGUGCCGGAGUUAACGCAAUAAGUACCCCGCCUGGGGAGUACGACCGCAAGGUUGAAACUCAAAGGAAUUGACGGGGGCCCGCACAAGCGGUGGAGUAUGUGGUUUAAUUCGACGCAACGCGAAGAACCUUACCAGGUCUUGACAUUGAUGGACAGAACUAGAGAUAGUUCCUCUUCUUCGGAAGCCAGAAAACAGGUGGUGCACGGUUGUCGUCAGCUCGUGUCGUGAGAUGUUGGGUUANNNNNNNNNACGAGCGCAACCCCUAUCUUAUGUUGCCAGCACGUAAUGGUGGGAACUCAUGAGAGACUGCCGCAGACAAUGCGGAGGAAGGCGGGGAUGACGUCAAAUCAUCAUGCCCCUUAUGACCUGGGCUACACACGUACUACAAUGGGAGUUAAUAGACGGAAGCGAGAUCGCGAGAUGGAGCAAACCCGAGAAACACUCUCUCAGUUCGGAUCGUAGGCUGCAACUCGCCUACGUGAAGUCGGAAUCGCUAGUAAUCGCAGGUCAGCAUACUGCGGUGAAUACGUUCCCGGGCCU
Molecule: ribosomal RNA, 735 nt
Filed under: uncultured bacterium
Lineage: Bacteria
Description: bacterial SSU rRNA
Rfam family: Bacterial small subunit ribosomal RNA
Source: RNAcentral